CGACGAGUUUGAUCCUGGCUCAGAUUGAACGCUGGCGGCAGGCCUAACACAUGCAAGUCGAGCGGAUGAAAGGAGCUUGCUCCUGGAUUCAGCGGCGGACGGGUGAGUAAUGCCUAGGAAUCUGCCUGGUAGUGGGGGACAACGUUUCGAAAGGAACACUAAUACCGCAUACGUCCUACGGGAGAAAGCAGGGGACCUUCGGGCCUUGCGCUAUCAGAUGAGCCUAGGUCGGAUUAGCUAGUUGGUGGGGUAAAGGCUCACCAAGCCAACGAUCUGUAGCUGGUCUGAGAGGACGACCAGCCACACUGGUACUGAGACACGGACCAGACUCCUACGGGAGCAGCAGUUGGGGAAUUUUGGGCAAUGGACGCAAGUCUG
This 378-nucleotide ribosomal RNA is filed under the name uncultured Pseudomonas sp. Its description in RNAcentral is "bacterial SSU rRNA". It matches the Rfam family "Bacterial small subunit ribosomal RNA", at positions 1 to 385 of the family's 1533-position model. The record is from RNAcentral. Lineage: Bacteria; Pseudomonadati; Pseudomonadota; Gammaproteobacteria; Pseudomonadales; Pseudomonadaceae.